Molecule: ribosomal RNA, 251 nt
Filed under: uncultured prokaryote
Description: partial 16S rRNA
Rfam family: Bacterial small subunit ribosomal RNA
Source: RNAcentral
ACGUAGGGGGCGAGCGUUGUCCGGAAUUACUGGGCGUAAAGGGUGCGUAGGCGGAUUUGCAAGUCAGACGUGAAAACCAUCGGCUUAACCGGUAGCCUGCGUUUGAAACUGUGAGUCUUGAGUGGUGAAGAGGUAAGCGGAAUUCCUAGUGUAGCGGUGAAAUGCGUAGAUAUUAGGAGGAACACCAGUGGCGAAGGCGGCUUACUGGGCAAUAACUGACGCUGAGGCACGAAAGCAUGGGGAGCAAACAG